Molecule: non-coding RNA, 288 nt
Organism: Oryctolagus cuniculus (rabbit)
Lineage: Eukaryota; Metazoa; Chordata; Mammalia; Lagomorpha; Leporidae
Source: RefSeq, a predicted model, not a curated record
UCCAGGAGUCUCCUCUUUCCCAAGAAAAGAGUGCAGAAGAAGGUGAAGUGGCAGCUCUGCACCUCACAGCCAGAUCCCAGACAACAGUGACAUUCAAGGAUGUGGCCAUGGACUUCACACUGGAAGAGUGGGAGAAGCUGGGCCCUACACAAAGGGCAGUGCUGCUGGAGAACUACAGGAACCUGGUCUCACUGUGGCUUCCCAUUUCCAAACCUGAGAGCUACGAUUUGGAGAAUGGAAAAGAGCCAUUGAUGCUUGAGAGAAAAGUGCCCAGUAGCAGCUAUCUAG